RNAcentral lists this ribosomal RNA (305 nucleotides) under uncultured bacterium. Its description in RNAcentral is "bacterial SSU rRNA". It matches the Rfam family "Bacterial small subunit ribosomal RNA", at positions 337 to 640 of the family's 1533-position model. The record is from RNAcentral.
GCCUACGGGGCGCAGCAGUGAGGAAUAUUGGUCAAUGGUCGGGAGACUGAACCAGCCAAGCCGCGUGAGGGGUGAAGGUACAGAGUAUCGUAAACCUCUUUUGUCAGGGAACAAAGGCGGGGACGCGUCCCCGGAUGAGUGUACCUGAAGAAAAAGCAUCGGCUAACUCCGUGCCAGCAGCCGCGGUAAUACGGAGGAUGCGAACGUUAUCCGGAUUUAUUGGGUUUAAAGGGUGCGCAGGCGGUCUGUUAAGUCAGCGGUCAAAGCCCGGGGCUCAACCCCGGCCCGCCGGUGAAACUGGCAGG